This 207-nucleotide ribosomal RNA is filed under the name uncultured bacterium. Its description in RNAcentral is "partial 16S ribosomal RNA". It matches the Rfam family "Bacterial small subunit ribosomal RNA", at positions 568 to 774 of the family's 1533-position model. The record is from RNAcentral.
CGCGUAGGCGGUUUUGUUAGUCGGAUGUGAAAUCCCCGGGCUUAACCUGGGAACUGCAUUCGAUACUGCAUGACUAGAGUAUGGUAGAGGGAAGUGGAAUUUCCGGUGUAGCGGUGAAAUGCGUAGAUAUCGGAAGGAACACCGGUGGCGAAGGCGACUUCCUGGGCCAAUACUGACGCUGAGGUGCGAAAGCGUGGGGAGCAAACA